CCAACGGCUGGGAACUGAGAACCCUUAGUCAUAAAAGUGUCAGAAAUCCUUAACCGCUCCCCCAUUUCAUCUCCUCACUUCCACUCUUCAUAGAACACCUUCACAAACCCUAAAGCCUCCCACCUCCCCCGGCGGCGCCACUACCAAAUAACCCCAAAAUCAACACCAUAGAACCACCACAACCCCUUCUGCCCAAAUCCCAUACGUGUUUUCCUCAAAUUUUGCCCAAACUUCAGGGAUCUUAGAUCAAAGUUCAACCCUAAACCCAAAUUUCUCCAAUUCAAGGCUUCCAUGAAUAUUUUAGGUUUAUUCAGACUUUAUUCGUGCAUUUUGUUAAAAACACAUGAAUAAUCUCCGAUUGAACCGGAAUUUUGAAGACGCGAAGUUCUCUUGCCUUCCUUGCGGUCCGAGCUGUUCUUUCUUAGGUAUUUCGUCUUUAGUUUCUGUGUUUUAAUCUUUAUGUGAGUUCCUUUAUCUUCUUCUUAUGUUUUUUGUGUGUGCAUGAUUCAAUUCUAUUUUUCUUUUUUCUUUUUUAUUUCUCCAGUAGUUUAAAUUUCUGCAUGUCUUUCACUCAUACUUAGUUAGUGAUUUUGAGCUUGUAUUAGUCAAAUUGACACGUCUUUUCUAUUUGGGCUUUUGAAACCUUUGGGUCAAAGAACCCAUGGAUUCCAUUCAGUCCUAUCCCUCCUCCUUUCUUUGAUUGUUCUGUGGAAUUUAGAGUCUAAUUGGCUUGAAAGAAAGGGGCUGGCCUAGAGUUUGUAGGCUUAAACCUUCUAAUUAAACUCGGGUCAAUGUUUUGGUCAAGUUUUAUGCGGUAAUAAAAGGGGCACUGGGAGAGUAGUUUAGGUAUUUGGGGUUGGAGAAUCUUUCAUAACAUAUUUGGAAAGUUUAAGUAUAAGGGUUAGUUUGAUAAACCUUGUUUUUGGAUAACUGAGUUGGAAAACUAGUCAGAAAUUAAAAGUUACCUAUGCUGAUAAAAGGGACUGAUUUGCAAAUAAAUUCUUAUGGGGCUGCCCUAGUAACUUGCCUAUAGGCACAUGUUACCUGCAACCCAAGGCAGAGAUUAGACUUUAGAGAGAGGAAAAAAUCUAAGAGAUCCAAUAGCGAAUAAUCUGAAAAAAUCGGCACUGUUUCAUUGAGCUUUUCUAAUUUAUGAAAGUUUAAUUUUCUGAAAUAAUUCUCUGAAUAUCUUGAAGUAGAAAUGGAUUACAUAUGGUGUGAUUUUGGGUGUUUUUGGAAAGUGGUUUUGGUUUGGAUUCUGGGCUGAAAGGUCACUGUUUCAUUCAUUUCUUCAAUUGCAUUCCUGAAAUGGUUUGAAGAACUAUCUGAGUUGUACUGAGUAGAGGCUAGUACUUAAAAGCUGGUUUGAAGUUUGGAUUGGGACCAAAUUAUGAUUUGAAAGUUGUGAUUUACUCAGUUCAUUUUGAAAGCUGUGAUUUACUCAGUUCAUUUAUGUAACUGGAAACUAUUAUCGUUGCUAGAUCUGCUAUCUCAUUUUUUCCCUUGUCUAUUUCUUCUUCCAGGUAUAAAUUUCUGAUCCCUGCACAAUGUGAAACUUAGUUUGAGAAUGAAAUGGAGCAAACCUUUUUUAUAUCUUACUAGUAAUUGUCUGUGUGUAAAAAUGUUUAUUUUAUUCGUAAUUAUGUACUUUGUUCAUCGGUGAUGUGAAUCUCUGUGAUUAUUCUCCUAGAAUAGCUGAAAUCUCAGUUUGUAAAUGAUUAUGGACUUUUGGAACUAUGACAUGUCUUAAUUGUUUAUUCCAAUUAUUGUAGUUCAGAUGGGUUUUUGCACGGUAAGAUCAGUUUGAAUGCAAAAGUAGUUUGAGAGCUGCCAUGUUUAUUGAUGUUUAAUGGGUGUGAGUUUUACGUUUUUUUGUAAAAGUUAGAUUAGGCCAUAAUAUUGGAGUUUGAGUUCAGUUAGAGUUUGAUUUAAGACAGUACUCAGUCCUUUCUAGUAUUUCAAGUGCUGUUAGCAUGUUCAAAUGUUAGUUUGAAUUUAAUUUUGGACUAUUGGGUGAGCACAAGAAGUGAUUAUAGGAUUAACCC
This 2045-nucleotide long non-coding RNA is filed under the name Nicotiana benthamiana. RNAcentral describes it as "long non-coding RNA (NBEN_LNC021020)". The record is from RNAcentral. Lineage: Eukaryota; Viridiplantae; Streptophyta; Magnoliopsida; Solanales; Solanaceae.